This 433-nucleotide ribosomal RNA is filed under the name uncultured bacterium. RNAcentral's name for it is "partial 16S ribosomal RNA". It matches the Rfam family "Bacterial small subunit ribosomal RNA", at positions 29 to 507 of the family's 1533-position model. The record is from RNAcentral.
AACGAACGCUGGCGGCAUGCCUAACACAUGCAAGUCGAACGAGACCUUCGGGUCUAGUGGCGCACGGGUGCGUAACGCGUGGGAACCUGCCCUUAGGUUCGGAAUAACUCCCCGAAAGGGGUGCUAAUACCGGAUAAUGUCUUCGGACCAAAGAUUUAUCGCCUUUGGAUGGGCCCGCGUUGGAUUAGCUAGUUGGUAGGGUAAAAGCCUACCAAGGCGACGAUCCAUAGCUGGUCUGAGAGGAUGAUCAGCCACACUGGGACUGAGACACGGCCCAGACUCUUGGGGGAGGAGGGAGGGGGGAAUAUGGGAAAGGGGGGGAAAGCAUGAUGAACCAAGGCGGGGAGAGGGAUGAGGGCAUUGGGGUUGAAACGCUUUUUAACCGGGGAAGAUAAUGACGGUACCGGAAGAAUAAGCGCGGGCUAACCCCGUG